CUAUACAUGCAAGUCGAGCGAACAGACAGGAGCUUGCUCCUUUGACGUUAGCGGCGGACGGGUGAGUAACACGUGGGUAACCUACCUAUAAGACUGGGAUAACUUCGGGAAACCGGAGCUAAUACCGGAUAAUAUUUCGAACCGCAUGGUUCGAUAGUGAAAGAUGGUUUUGCUAUCACUUAUAGAUGGACCCGCGCCGUAUUAGCUAGUUGGUAAGGUAACGGCUUACCAAGGCGACGAUACGUAGCCGACCUGAGAGGGUGAUCGGCCACACUGGAACUGAGACACGGUCCAAACUCCUACGGGAGGCAGCAGUAGGGAAUCUUCCGCAAUGGGCGAAAGCCUGACGGAGCAACGCCGCGUGAGUGAUGAAGGUCUUCGGAUCGUAAAACUCUGUUAUUAGGGAAGAACAUACGUGUAAGUAACUAUGCACGUCUUGACGGUACCUAAUCAGAAAGCCACGGCUAACUACGUGCCAGCACCCGCGGUAAUACGUAGGUGGCAAGCGUUAUCCGGAAUUAUUGGGCGUAAAGCGCGCGUAGGCGGUUUUUUAAGUCUGAUGUGAAAGCCCACGGCUCAACCGUGGAGGGUCAUUGGAAACUGGAAAACUUGAGUGCAGAAGAGGAAAGUGGAAUUCCAUGUGUAGCGGUGAAAUGCGCAGAGAUAUGGAGGAACACCAGUGGCGAAGGCGACUUUCUGGUCUGUAACUGACGCUGAUGUGCGAAAGCGUGGGGAUCAAACAGGAUUAGAUACCCUGGUAGUCCACGCCGUAAACGAUGAGUGCUAAGUGUUAGGGGGUUUCCGCCCCUUAGUGCUGCAGCUAACGCAUUAAGCACUCCGCCUGGGGAGUACGACCGCAAGGUUGAAACUCAAAGGAAUUGACGGGGACCCGCACAAGCGGUGGAGCAUGUGGUUUAAUUCGAAGCAACGCGAAGAACCUUACCAAAUCUUGACAUCCUUUGACAACUCUAGAGAUAGAGCCUUCCCCUUCGGGGGACAAAGUGACAGGUGGUGCAUGGUUGUCGUCAGCUCGUGUCGUGAGAUGUUGGGUUAAGUCCCGCAACGAGCGCAACCCUUAAGUUUAGUUGCCAUCAUUAAGUUGGGCACUCUAAGUUGACUGCCGGUGACAAACCGGAGGAAGGUGGGGAUGACGUCAAAUCAUCAUGCCCCUUAUGAUUUGGGCUACACACGUGCUACAAUGGACAAUACAAAGGGCAGCGAAACCGCGAGGUCAAGCAAAUCCCAUAAAGUUGUUCUCAGUUCGGAUUGUAGUCUGCAACUCGACUACAUGAAGCUGGAAUCGCUAGUAAUCGUAGAUCAGCAUGCUACGGUGAAUACGUUCCCGGGUCUUGUACACACCGCCCGUCAACCCACGAGAGUUUGUAACACCCGAAGCCGGUGGAGUAACCAUUGGAGCUAGCCGUCGAA
RNAcentral lists this ribosomal RNA (1428 nucleotides) under Staphylococcus haemolyticus. Its description in RNAcentral is "bacterial SSU rRNA". It matches the Rfam family "Bacterial small subunit ribosomal RNA". Lineage: Bacteria; Bacillati; Bacillota; Bacilli; Caryophanales; Staphylococcaceae. The record is from RNAcentral.